GCUGGCGGCGUGCCUAACACAUGCAAGUCGAGCGGGAAAGGUUUCCUUCGGGAAGCGAGUACAGCGGCGAACGGGUGAGUAACACGUAGGUAACCUGCCCCAAGGUCUGGGAUAACCUGUCGAAAGGCGGGCUAAUACCGGAUAAGACCACGAGAGUCUUGGCUCUCGCGGUAAAAGAUGGCCUCUGCUUGCAAGCUAUCACCUCGGGAUGGGCCUGCGCGCCAUUAGCUUGUUGGUGAGGUAACGGCUCACCAAGGCCGAGAUGGCUAGCUGGUCUGAGAGGAUGGCCAGCCACACUGGGACUGAGACACGGCCCAGACUCCUACGGGAGGCAGCAGUGGGGAAUAUUGCGCAACGGGCGAAAGCCUGACGCAGCGACGCCGUGUGGGUGAUGAAGGCCUUCGGGUCGUAAAGCCCUGUCAGAGGGGACGAAAUCUCACCGACCCAAUACGUCGGUGACUUGACGGUACCCUCAGAGGAAGCACCGGCUAACUCCGUG
RNAcentral lists this ribosomal RNA (499 nucleotides) under uncultured bacterium. Its description in RNAcentral is "bacterial SSU rRNA". It matches the Rfam family "Bacterial small subunit ribosomal RNA", at positions 35 to 507 of the family's 1533-position model. The record is from RNAcentral.